Molecule: non-coding RNA, 676 nt
Filed under: Neofoleyellides sp. XM-2022
Lineage: Eukaryota; Metazoa; Nematoda; Chromadorea; Rhabditida; Onchocercidae
Source: RNAcentral
AUAUUAAGUUUGAUUUUGGUUUUUGAUGUAUUAAGAUAGUAUUACCUAUUUUUGGUUUAUUUAGUGUGUUAUUUUUUUUACACUGGUAGUUUGUUGAUUGUUUAAAAAGUGUUCCAGAAUAAUCGGCUAUACAUUUUGAAUUUUAUACUCUAUUUUUUGUUAUUUUUCAUUUUUGUUUUAUUUUUUAUUUUAUUUUUUUGUAAAAUAUUAUGAUUUUUUUUGUUUAUUUGAAAAGUUUAAAAUUUGUUAAUUGAACUGGAUUAGUACCCAGGUAAUCAAAGUUUAUUAAUGCGGGAGUAAAGUUGUAUUUAAACCGAAAAAAUAUUGGCUGACCUUAAAUUUUUCUUUGGAACAUGUAAAUUUUGGAGAGUCCUCCUUAUUUUUUUUUUUUUGGCUCAUGUAUGAUUGUUUGUUUUUUAUAUUUUAUGUGAUUUUUUUUUAUUUAUAAAUAUAAUGCAGAUAGAUACUUGGUUUAUAAAAAAAGUUUUUAUGUGUUACUAUUAUUAAUUUUAACGGAUUAUUUUUUAGUUUAUUUAUGAAGUUGGAAAAGAAAGUAAUUUUUUUUUUAUGUAAAAAUGAAUUAAAUAAGUAAGGUGGUACAAACCAUCCGUCAAUGGCCUAAAGGGGCGUAAGUUGUAGUAUGGUAGAAGUAAGGAAACUUGUUUCUAAUUUUUAA